UCCCCUGUGUGAAUCCUCUGGUGUUUAACCAGGCUGGAAUUGUGUCUGAAACUUUUCCCACAAUCAGGACAUUCAAAGAGUUUACCUCUUGUGUGAGUCUUCUGGUGAAACACUAGGUUGGAGUUGUGUCUGAAACUUUUCCCACAAUCAGGACAUUCAAAGGGUUUCUCUCCUGUGUGAGUUCUCUGAUGGUUCACCAGGUGAGAAUUCUGAAUGAAACCUUUCCCACAAACAGGACAUUCAAAGAGUUUCUCUCCUGUGUGAGUCCUCUGAUGGCUCACCAGGUCGGAAUUCUGUCUGAAACUUUUCCCACAAUCCGGACAU
Pseudonaja textilis is the source of this 324-nucleotide non-coding RNA. NCBI's taxonomy places the organism in Eukaryota, Metazoa, Chordata, Lepidosauria, Squamata, Elapidae. The record is from RefSeq and is a predicted model, not a curated record.